RNAcentral lists this ribosomal RNA (739 nucleotides) under uncultured bacterium. RNAcentral describes it as "partial 16S ribosomal RNA". The record is from RNAcentral.
CCGUCGCUUAUAAUACCCGCGGCGCACCUUCCGAUACGGGAUACCUGGGGUACGACUUCACCCCAGUCAAGAAGAAAACGGGGUUUUAGCGCUUAACUAGGGAGAGCUGGUCCAUGGGGAAAGCCCCUCUCCUGGGAAACACGCGAGGUGUAACCAGACGGAAAGCAUUUCCCGUACAUUCUUACUUGCGGCACGAGAGGUCAUACUUCCGGGGAUAUUAAUGUUAUAUUUGGUGACUAGAGGUUUGGGUGGUAUAGCCCCCCCUUGCGCGGUGGCGAGCUCUGGGCUAAAUUGGGGAAUGAUGGACGGAACCAGAGGUGGGACGAGGUCUUGAGGGCUCCCGUCCGGCGGGGUUGCGUCCCAGGAAGCCACAUAAAGAACUCAAAACCAAAAAAAAAGAAAGUGUUGGGACCUAAUCCGAGAUUAAAAAAAAAAAAAACGUGAGCAAGGGAGAAACAAACGGAGCGAUAGUAUUGGUGUUGUUAUGAAAAUUCGGUAGAGGGGGGAGAGAUAGGUGGGAGCCGAAACGAGCAUAGGAUAUAAAGACGAUGCGGGGGCGGAAGAAGGGGGUGGGGGGGGAGUGUAUAUAUACGGAAUAAUCGGUCCUAUGGUGGAGUAAAACCGGUGCACGAAGCACUAUGUGCUCAGUAGGUACUCGGCGGUAACUUUCGAAGACGAUGAGGGCGUGGGGAAAAGCACACACCCAAGCACGAUGCUAGCUGUGUGAAUAGUAUCACAC